Neopsephotus bourkii (Bourke's parrot) is the source of this 825-nucleotide long non-coding RNA. RefSeq lists it as uncharacterized. The record is from RefSeq and is a predicted model, not a curated record. The transcript has 5 exons. Lineage: Eukaryota; Metazoa; Chordata; Aves; Psittaciformes; Psittacidae.
UGGGAUGGUGGCUCUAACCGCUGUCAGACUGAUAGUGACCAUGGGUUGAUUUUCUAGCUCAGUGCAGGGAGGGAGAAGGUAUAGCAACAAGACUUCUCUAAGGCCUGAGAGAUCAGCCCUAGCAUGGGUAUUUCCCCUGUCAUUUUGUUUGUAUAUGUGCUCUGGGUCGGGCAAGAUAACCAGUCCUUUCUGGGCAGUUUUCUUCCUAUCCAAGUGCUGAGAUGAGGAGCUACCAGCAGUGCCCUUCAUAAAAAUGUGGCUGGCAUAGCAAUGCAUCACUAAGCAACAUGGACUGUUUGAGCCAGGUGUAGCUGCCAGCUGUCCGUCAGCACCUCACCAGCAGCGUGGGAGAGAGGAGGUAGCUGGAGCAGUGCACGAGGAAAAAACCCCAACAACCCCAUAACCAAGCCCAAGAGUGAGUUUCUACAUGUGUCUUAUUGCAUGGCUGCCUUAAUGCUAGUGCUGGCAGGAGAGAAGGGUCUGGACAGUAGCAUCCAGUGUCUUCAAAUUAGCAUUCCUUGAUGAAGUGAACUUAAUACUCGCAUGCAUGCGAUUGUGGUCCAAGUUGGAGGUUUAUCUGUGUCAUUCAUAUGAAACAGUAAGUUCAUCAGGAUUGGGAACUAGAAUUUCCACAGGAAGUGUACAGAUAUGAGGAAAUGUACCUUUAAUGUUGAAAUAAUUCAAGAUCAGAGUUCCAAUAUGGCCAUGCUCUUGAAAAGGAAGAACUGAAUACACAGCUCAUUUACCAAGGCAAAAGUGUUUAACUAUGACCUUAAGCACAUGCUGCUGCUUGUUAGUUCAACUGAAGCUACACAAACAUGAUAA